AUAUUUUGUUGUUUAUUCAACUGUGUUUUCCUGCUUCACAUACUGUGUGAAUAAAUUUGGUGGUAAAUUUUUAAGUGGUAUUACCUGCAAUAAAAAUUUCAUAUAAGAAACUAGAAAUGUGAAUAAUUUGAUACUGGAUAGUUGUUUUUCUUAGUGUGUUUCCAUUUGAUGCUGUUUUAUCACUUUGAAAAUGUUCAUGGUAAAAACUGUUGGAUUUCAAAAUGAGUCCUGAAAUUGUGGAAAGAACUUUGGCAUGGAUGUUAAAGAACACAACUUUUGACUCUGCUUACCUUUAAUCUGACUUCAGAGAAGUCACAGUUUGGCCACAUCAUCCUUUCUGUAAAAUGAGGAUUUUGGACUUUUAAAAGUUCCUUUCAACUCUAAAAUUUCCAUAAAAGCACUUACUUCUAGUCUAAUCCCCCCAUCUUAUUUCAUUGCUCAACUAUUCUCUAUUAUCAAUACUCUCCUUUCCUAUGCCAGCUGAUUUCUAAAUAAAUCUGAACUCUUUGCUUUUUUGUUACAAAAUCCUUCAUGGUAUGGUGGUCCAUGACAUCAUCUUAAGUAAUUGUCCCUCUUCUUUAUUGUGGUACGUGAUAGGCACAUUGACCUUCUUUUGGCUUUUGGCAAAAGUAAAGUGUAUUCCUAGCCUUAAAACCUUUUGUGUUAGCUGUACCCUGAUCUUUCCUGACUUGUUGUCAAUAAGAAUUGAGCAUAAAUGUCAGGUUUCUUUUUUCCCCCUCUGUGAUAGCACUUAUUAUCUAGUGCUUUUCCUGUCUAAUUUUCUGUAUGUCCCCAGGAGAACCUAACAUACAUAAAAUAAGAACCUUGUCUUUAUUAUUCAAUGUUAAAACCCUCUUAAUACUGACACAAGGUAGACUUCCAGGACCUGUUGAAUAUAUACAGUAAAAACGGCUUUUUGUCAGGUUUUGGAGUUUUCUGAUUUUAAAUGAAAGAAGUGAUUGGUAUGCUAAAAAUAACAUGCCAGGUUGAAGUUAGAGGCUUGCUGCAAGUUUAAGAUAGCCUAGGCUACAUUCAAAGCCAGCCUAAAAUUACAUAAAAGACCAUGUCUCCAAAAAAAAAAAAAAAAGAAAAACAUUACUUAUAUAAACUAAUCUGCAGAUAGGAUUACAUAUAUUAAAUUGAAUUAAUGGGAAAGAAAGCUUUUGAUAUUUCAUGUUUUCUCUUUCCAGUACAGUUGUCUUUAAAGCUUGUACCUUUUUUAUAUUUCUAUACAUAUUUUUGGUUGCAAAUAUAGAAUCACUUCUGAGUACUAUAGGCAAAAUGAGAGUUCGUUGGAAGAUGAUUGGGCAAUGUAAACAUGAAGUUUUAAAGUACCUCAUGUGAAAGAUGAGCACUGAUUGGUUCUUGGCCUGUCUAAGAAUUUAGUCAGCAAGAUUUUGUGGCCAUUGUCAUAGACCCAAUAUUUACAUACUUUGGUAUUAAUCAAUGCCUCCGAGACUUUAAAUUUUCAGAUUCUUGAAGAAAAUAUGUUUUGGGCUAUUAUGUUAUGACUAUGGAGGCAGUUGUGGUUACCUGUUAUAAUCGAUAAGGGCCCACAAUAGCCUCACCCUUGUUCUUGGAAUUAUUUAUAGAGAUAGGAAAUUGUGAUUGGAGCAGCUGUACCAGUUGGAAUCUGUACUGGUUUUUUCAGUGUCUUCUACCCAUCUGCUUAUAAGCAGUAGUCAUUAACAUGAGCUGUGCAAGAUUAUGAAACCUUAUAAUAGAAUAUACCUGCAGGUCUGUGUGGUUCUGCUUCUUAAAGGGAAAAUCCCACUCAUGCAAUGUAUUUAUAUUAUUUAAGAAAAUAUUUUAUAGUCUUCUAAAUCAGUGAAUCCAUAGCAUAUCCUUCCAUCCUAUUCCUUCUUUACUAGUUCUGAUUUAUUGCUUGGUAAGUUUUUUUGUCUUGGUAAGUGUUGGAGUGAAAGAUUAUUUUCAGUGUUAAUGUGUAAAUGUUCAAAUCUGCCUUGACGCUAGCUAAGUCAGAGACGGGGGUGGGGGGGCUGAAAUUCCAUCAAUCUGACCCACCCACUCCUUUGGUGCUAGGGAUUGAACCUAGGAGCUUGCACUUGCUAGGCAAGUGUUCUUAUCACUGAAUUAUACACUUAGCCCUAAUCUGCCCAUUUAUAUCAUUGUAGGUGAUUUUGAUAUAUGCUGAAGUUUGAGAAUUGCUUCUGUAAUUUUGCUUUUAUUAUCAAAAUGAACUAGGCUAACAUCUAGGUCAGGAGUGGCAAAUCUAUGGCACAUGUGUUCUUUUAGGAGAAAGUAUGUUGACUCAUAAGUUUUUCCUAAACUAGAACCUCAGUGUUCAGGUUUAAUUGCAGUGUUGGUAUUUUGUGGUAGGUAAGUGGAGAUUUGAGUUACAAUUUGGGCAUUCUUUAAAAAAGUUUUACCAUCAUGGAUCAAGGUGAUCAUAUAAAUUACUGCUUUGCUAGGCAUUUGUUUCAGGAGGUGUAUAGAAUGGUGACCUAAAUAAAUGCCCCUGCUGUUGCAGACAGUAAACAAAUAAAUCUAUACUUUCAGUUAUCAAUACUGUGGAGAAACAAAGUGGUUAAAACAGAUAUACUAGACACUGGAGGGGGGGGGAUUGUUCAGUUUUAAGGGUUAUCAGGAAAGGAAUCUCUUAUAAAAUGGUGAAAAUAGAGAAUGGCAUGAAAAUUAUCUGUGGGAAAAAGUGUUCUAGGCAAAGUGAAAAGUAAAUGUGGCCCCACAGAUGUGAGCAUUCAAGGAAAGUAUGUGGUAAGAUGUGAGAUUAAAGAGUUAGCAGAGGGGCCUUAUCUGUAGUGCCUGUGGGCCCAGUAGAAAUUCUCCAUAUUCUGAAUGAAAGGAGAAGCCAUUCAAAUGUUUUUUGAGCCUAAGAAUAAUGCAAACUCAUUGGAAUUUUGAUGGAUUUAUUCUGGCUGUUGUAUGGAGAGGCCUAGGAUUCUGAGGAAGUAGGGAGACUAGAGAAAUUAAAAAAUACCUAGAUCUAGCUACAUGAAGUGACACAAAGCUAUUACUCUAGAAUUCUGAAAAGCUGAGGCAAGAAGAUCACAGUUCAAGCCUAGCCUUUGGGCUUUUUCAAAAGGGUGAGGAAAAAAUAUAACUCAGUGCAGUUUCUGGUUUAGUCUCCAGUACAGGGUGGUGGGGGGAUACAAAGUUUGAUUUUUUCAUAGAUUUUUAAAUUAGAGCUGAGAAUUUGCUAAUGAAUGUGGGGUGUUAUGUCAAAAGUGACUAAAAUUUUGAUCAGUAAAAGCAAUGAAAUUGCCAUUUUCCAAAAUAGAAAAGAUAGAGAGAGAAGCCAGUAUGGGAGAGAGAGGCUCAGUAGUUCCGACUUGGAAAAUAUGGCGCUGAAAGGCAGACAGACAUCCAGGUGGAUGACAGGCAGGCAGGUGGACCCUUGAGUUUGGGAUAACCCUUUUUGACAUUCCAUGUCUGUGUCACCAAAAUGUUUUAAAUUAGACAUUUAUAUUUGUAACUCAUAAGAGUAGAUACCAAACAAUUGUAUGUAAUCUUUUGGAUAAGGUUUUUUUUUUUUUUAAACUAAGUUCCUUUGACAAAAGUUUAAGUUUAGCAAAACUGAAAUUUGCACAGUUACUAACUGGUUCUUUGAGGCUGUUAAUGCAAACUAAGUGGAAAUUUUGUGAAAUAUAUGAGCGAAGUUUUAUCUUUUAAAAAUAAAAUAAAACCUAGGGACUCUCAGAGUUUGGCACUGUGGAAAAAGUUUCAUUUUAGAAUUAUGAAAAAUUUCAACUACAUGAUGUGAAAUGUACUCUUCUUAGUGAUCUUUUCAUCACUUGUCUUAAUGCUUAUUCUGUGUGCUUCCUUUCCUUUCUGUUUGUAUGAAAGCGUAAUUUUGUGAGUUCUUCUGAAGUUUCAGGUGGGAAAUGCAGCAUAAUGGUCAAAAAUAUGAACUUAGACCCAGACUGGCUAGCUCUGGUUUGUGUGUGUGUGUGUGUGUGUGUGUGUGUGUGUGUGUGUGACUUUUUUUGACUUUUGGCCAAUUAUAUUUUGUUGCUGGUUUUCAAUUUCCUCAUCUCUGUAAUGGAGAUGUAAGUUUCUUUUUAUUUUUUGGUCCCAGGGAUUGAACUCACGACCAGGCAGGGGCUUAUGCUGCUUAGCUAAAUCCCUGGUGAUACCAAGUGUCUUACAGAGUUAUGAAGACCAAAUCAAUUAAUAUAUGUAAAACACUUGAAAAAAAUGUCUUGGUCAGGGAUUUAGCUCAGCAGCACAAAUUGCCUGCAUGAGGUUGUGAUUUCGAUCUCUAGUACAAAACAAACAAAACAAAGUCUUGAUGCUGUAUUAAGUGCUGUGGCAUGUAAGAUCUGCAAGAAGAGAAAUCUGUCUCUCUUUUUCAGUGCCAUAUUCCUAGGGUUUAGAACAACAUCUUUUAAACAAUAAAUGUACAGUAGAUAUUUGCUGUUAGUGUAUUAUAUGCAACCCUUUCUUUUAAAUAUUGCUAAACUUUUUUAAAAAGUUGUAUUUUGCAUUUGUACUUGGCCACUUACAGAAGUUGAAUGUAAAUUUAAAUUUUUGUUUUAAAACUAUUGUGUUUCUUUUUUGUGAGGAUGGGGAUCCAAGCCAGAGCGUUGCACCUGCUAAGCAAGUACUGCACCACUAAGAUGGAGAUGUGCUUUAGACUUGUCUGUGUAGGACUCUGGGAUUGAAAGAAAGCCAUGAAUUCAGUCUGAAGAAACAGACUAUACUCUAUUACUUUGCAGUGUUUUUGGAUUGUUGGCUUAAUAUUGUAAAACACAUAGGAGAAGCCUCUAAAAAUGUACUAAUAACUUACAGAAUUCAUAUUUACUAAUAUUUAUAUUAAGAAAACAGGUUUUUAUUGCAUUUUUCUGUUCAUCAACCACAUUCUGGGAGUGAGAACAUGAAUCAGUUGCCUAAAACAAAACUAUAUAGUCAACAUACAGAUGGUGGAUUUUUCAGUCAUACAGGUCUAGAUUUUGUAUACUGUCUGAACUUGUCAUCAAUUGCUAUAGUAAUGCCUUUAGUAAAACACCUUAUAGCUUAGUAGCUUAAAAUAAUCACAGCUUAUUUCUGUAGUCAUAUUUAUUGACCUUCUAUUGGUAGAGAAUAAGCUUGGGUUGAUCUGGGCUAGUCCUUAAUUAGCUUAAAUAUUUUUCCAUUUGUUCCUUCUGGGUGCAAGCUGAAGAAGCAGUGGCUUUACACAUAUCUUUCAUAACAGAUCACCAGAAUGCCAAAGCCAAGCCAAAUUGCAUAAAAUUAGGUAAGGCUUCUGCUCUAUGCAUUAGCCUAAUAGUUAUCAACUGGGAGCUUUUUUGCCUCAUGCGACAGUGACAAUAUUUAAAGAUAUUCUUUGCUGACAAAGUCUGAGAGAGGAGUAUGCAUUACUGGUAGGUGGUGCAAGGAUUUAGCUAAACAUUCUAAAAGUGCAAAGGUCAGUUUAUCACAGUGCAGACUUACCUGGUCCAAUAUAUCAAUGGUGUUGAGUUCGAGAAACCCCACUUUAGCUAUGUUAAGAUACUCCAUCCAUAAUGGGAAGGGGACCAUAAUAAAAGAUUUACUGCAAAAUAACUGAAAUUAUCAGCUGAUUUUAAGUAUGUGUCAGGUUUUGAUUCAUCGCAAAAUUAUCUGGAGAGAGAUAAUGAACAAAUGGAUGGCAUUUGAUCGAAAAGACUCAGUAUGAUUUUUGUGAUUAUGACUAAGGGAAAAAAAUCUGUUCUUAAAGGAGCUCACAGUUUUACAUGAAAGACAAAAGACACUGUAAUAAACCAUGGUCUAUUUUACAGUGCUGUAAUGACCCAUGCAUGAAGAUUGAAGUUGUGUUUAGAUCAUCAAACUAAUAAUUUGGUUAAGUUUUUAAGGGCUUGUUUGAAUUCAUGGAGAUCUUUAAAGUUUAGGCUGGCCUUUUCUACUCACUAUAUGCAGCACUGGGUAACCUUGAACUUGCAGUGAGUGAUACUCUCGCCUGGGAUUGCCGGGAUUGCCGGGAUUGCAGGUGUGCACUACCACUCCUGGCAAUAGCUUUUUUUUUUUUUUUUUUUUUUUUUUCUCUCUCUCUCUUUUUUUUUUUUUUUAUUUAAGGAGAAAAGAAAAAAAAAGUGAAAGGGUACAAGUUAUACAGAUUUACAGAAGAAAAAAAUGAACAGUAGGAAAUCACUAGUUAAUGGAUUACAUAUUGCCAUCUUAGAAAUAAUUGUUCAAGUCACAAAAUUAAAGCUUGUAGAGUGGACAUUCCAACAAUGAUACUGCAAACAGUUCUGUUCAAUGAUCCAAUAAAACUCUGUGAUAUCAUUUUCUAUCUUAUACACUUAAAUAUACAUGCAGUUAUAUAGUUUAGAGCACUUUCUUUUCCUGUCUUUUGUACAAUGACUAUUACACAUUAUUUCGCUGUAUGGGAUUAUGUUGAAGGCCUAUUAGGAAUAUGUUUAAGACUUUGGCUUGAGAUAUACAGAAUUUCUUAGAAUGACAGUAGAUAUUCCAGAAAGUUUCAAGGUAGUCUGAAACUGGUACAGUUUCGUUGGAUUGUGUUUUUCCAAAGUUUCAUGAGCUUCAAAAUGAGCUUUUUCAAAAAAGUCUUAAAGCUACAGGCACUUUCUUUUAAUAUAAUGUACUAUAAUAUUUAAAGAGGACUGCUAUUCAGAAGAACAAUAAAAUGAUGAAGUUAUUUUGGGGGAACAGUUACUUCUAAAAGCAGUUUGUUUCAUUUGAGCUACAAAAUUUGUCUGUGAUUCAUUUUCUCCUAAAAGUUUUCUUUUUUUAUGUCUACUAUGUUUAAAGUAUUGCUACAGAGCACUUACUGAGUAUCUCACUUCGUGUCUCUACAAUCUCACUGACAAAGGCAUUGUAAUGUAAAAAUUGAGAAGACCCUAAUGGUUGCUUCUCAGUUCCUAGUAAGCUGGGUCUGGUGGAUAUCAAGGAAAGGAAAGCUGUUGGUCUGCUGUGUGAUUAUCUGGGGAGAAUUAUGUCUCUUGAACUUGUUGAACUUGCCACAAGCAGUUUGUAAACAGAAUCUUCCUUAUCCUAACUCUUUCUUCCCUAAAAUUAGCAAGUAUAAAGGACUUUGAAACAGUCAAAGGUUAUUCCAUUUGUCUCUACCACCCAUGUUGAGUUUUUAAAUCUGAUAUGCUUGGAAUCAGACAUAAUUAAGAUUUUAAGUUUUUUCCCAUAUUUUUGAAUAUUUACAUAUACCUAAUAUCUUGCAGUAAGACCCAUGUGUGAACAUGAAAUUCAUUUGUUUCAGGUACACACGACAUACUCAGUCUGAAUUUAGUGGGCCUUUUGAGUGCAGUCUAUCUAAAUAGAUCAGGUGUGGAGUUUUUCCCUAGGCACAAAAAUUUGGGGAUUUUGAACCCUUCUGGCCUUUUCAAUUUACAGGAUGCUUAACCUGUAGAAGAUAACCUAAAUUUGUUUUCCAAGGAAAUAAAGUCAUUUGUACAUUCCUUUGAUGCCAGUUUCUGCAGAAAUCUUCCUCAGUUAAAAACAAAACACCUGCCUUUAUGGUUCAUUAGAGACACUGAAAUUGAACUUUUCAGAAACUACUUUUGCAACUAAAUGUGGUCAAUUUUGGAAAACAUAUUUUAUCUCAAUUAGCCCAGGCACUUACAACAAAGUAGCUGAUAAAUGGAUCAAGAACUUUCUAAAAUCUAGUUUUGAUUACCAUAGAAUAUUGAUUCCCAAGAUUCAGAAGCAGUAUGAUCAGUAAAUAACCUGCCUGUUGUGAAGUGUAAACAUUUCUUUAUUUCAUGUUGACACAAUUUUUGGUAAAGAAUUUGUUGAGUUUAAAAUUCAUGCUGUACUGUUUGGAUUAAAGGAUAACAAGUCCCUAAGCUCUCAAUCCCUAGCAAUAAAAAAGAAAGGAAGGAAUGGAGGGAAUGAGGGGAGGAGGAGAGAGAAGGAAGAUGGCGGGAGGGAACAAGAGUCUAAUGUUAUUUUAUUUUAUAAAUGUAUGUGUUCUUUACCAAGGGUAAUGGCAGGGUAUGUGGAAAGACAUAGUCUUUGCUCUUGGUGGGAUGAGCCAUAGCCCAUAUAUGUUACACUGAGGACCUGAAAUAGGGCAGUAGCAGUUGAAGUGAAUAGAGCAGAUUGUAUAGUAAAAGUCGUAAGAUUUUUUUUUUGUCUAGUACAUGUGAAAGCAAAAAAUGAGGGAAGGUCUUUGUUUUAUAAUAGAGGAUUUUGUUUUAUUAAAUAAACAAGGAAUAUGAGAAGAAGGAAAAAAGAGCUGAUAAACUUACUUUGUUAAUAGGAUUUAAUAAGUAAAAGAAACUCUUAAGGUGAGUUGUUCAUAACAUUAUGCAACAAUGAACAGAGAAGUUUAGGACUAAAAUAGUGCCUCUCAUAAAAACCUCAUUCUUAGAGUUGCGUAAAUACUUUUGGAACAUUAUUGGAAAGUGAUAGUAUUUCUGUAGCAAUACUUAAGAUGUCAGCCAUAAGUGCCUUUUUGAUCUAUGAUUAGAAAUACUCAUUUCAUCUGUUAUACUCAUCUUUAGGGUCAGAGGUGACACAAGCUUAGUCUUUAUUCACAAAUAAUUGCAUCCUCUUUCUUUUUUGGUGUUGUAUGUAUUUGUCAUUGAAGUUUGCUGAGAGAACAUCACAUAGCAUCACGUAUUUAUGUAGUUAAAGUAAGAAGUACUUUAAAAGUAAAGUAAGAAAAACCGUAUGAUGGUUAAACCAGUGAUUCAAUGACUCAGUAAGACAUGGAAAUACAGAAAGGAGAAGAUGUAGUUGUCUAAAGUGGUAAAGUUAUAUGAUUGUGAUGUAUGUGGGCAAGAAAUUGUGAUGACAUAGUUUGACUCAUUUUGAAAGUAAACUUUAAUCUGAAGAGGGUUUUUAUAAAUUAAUAUGAACAUUUUGGAUGAUUAUUAAUGAGAUCACUAAAUACGAAUUUGUAGAAUUCAUCAGGGUAUAUGUGUAAGCUAUUUCCAACAUAGACAUUGUAUUAAAUGUCUGAACUCUAGUUUGGCUGAGGUGUCCUGGGAUUUGGGUUGGUGUGUAAUCUCUAGUCUAUUAAAAAUAAGUGACAGCAAUAACACACAGUAGAAUUCAGUGACCUAGUGCAUAUAAUGUGCCCAGCAUAGAAAUUGACUCAUGUUUGAAUACUUAUAAUCUGAGAUAUGUUGAAUGACACAGUGCUUACACUGAUGAUUGUUUAAUAUUGAAAUGGAGAAUGAAAAUAAUAAUAAUAAUCUUGUUUCUAAUUUUAACUUUGUUCUUUGAAAUAGAAUAAGGAUCAGCCAAGUUUAUUGAGAAAUUACUGAUUUUAUGAGUUUCUGUGCUGUGUAUGAUUUAUUAAGUUCCCCAACUUUAUUGAGGUAGUACUGAGAUAAAAUUGUGUAUGUUAAAGAUAUAACAUGAUAAUUUGUGAAAUGAUUGCCAUUCCCAACUGUAGUGAAGGGUUCCUCCUUUCCAUAUCCUUGGCAACAUUAUUUUGUUUUUGAUAGUAGUUGUCCUUGAAGGUUUGAAGUGGUAUCUGAAUUAUAGUUUUGAUUUGAGUUUUUUCAGUGUUUUGUGAUGGUUAAUCAUUUUUUGAUACACUGUUGGAAAUUUACAUUCUUUGGAAAAAAUGUCUUGUUCUUUUAAUUUUUUAAAAAAAGUUAAAAAUUUUGCUGCUGAUUUGUUUUGAGUUGAGUUCAUGUCAUGAUACAUUCUGGAUAUCAACUCUUUAAUCAGUUAUAGGCUGCAAAGAUUUUCUUGUAGUUUGUGGGUUGCACUUCAUUUUGUUGAUUGUUUCCUUUGUAGUGUGAUGCAGACCACUUGUGUAUUUCUGCUUUAUUGCCUGUGUUUUGUUUAUUUAAAAAUUCAUUGUCAAGACCAAUGUCAAACAGCUUUUGAAACUCUUUUCUAUCUAACUAAAAGUUACAUGGUUUCAGGUCAUACAUUUGAAGUCUUUAAUCUGGAUUGACUUAAAUUUUAAUUAACCAGUGUUAUUCUUAAAUCCAGUAUUCUAAGGUGGGGAUUGUGAGUUUCUGAUUAGAUACCACUACACCAAUAAAGUUAGGUAUUUACUCUUGAUGCCCCUGACAGAAUUUGUUGAUCAUGUAUGCAUGCCUGUGUUUAUUUUUGGGUUUCUGUUGUACUCACUUGGUCUAUGUAUAUGUUUUAAUACCAGCCAUAUUGUUUUUGUUACUGCAUUUUUGUGGUGUAGUUUGAAAUCAUUCACUGUGGUGCCUUUAGUUUUUCUUUUUUCUUAAGAUUGUUUUAGCUAGGAUAUUUUGCUUUUCUGUUUAUGUGAAAAAUGUCGUUGAAAUUUUGAAUUGAGAUUACGUUGAAUUUAUGGAUUGCAUUGAAUAGUAUGGGAGUUGAGUGGAGUGGAAUAUUUGCAUAGACUUUAUUGGUUGCUGUUUCCUAAUCAGAUGUGUUGUAAAAUCUAAAAAUUUUUGAAUGUCAUGUUGGAAUUUGUUUUUUUGCUAGGGAUGCUUAGUCUGUGUGUGACUACUAUGCAGAUAGUUAAUGUAUUGGAAUCUCCUUGUGUUGUAUGUUGUAUGAAGCACUGUGGAAUUAAAACAAAAAUCAGGACUGGUUCAUGCCUUCAGGAAAAUAACUUUCAAGAGCCAUGUAGAUCAUUGUAAAGCAUGUGAGAGAGGAGUGGAAAAUACUCCAUAAUUUCUUUGAUGAAGAGGGGAAAUGUGCCUCUAGGAAUUAAACUAAACACACAAGGAAAUUGCAGAAGGAAUACUUGGGACUCAUAUUGUGGGAUGAGGAUUUUGUCUUGUUUGGUGGAAAGGAGAAAAUAUGUUUCUGGAAAAAGAAUUAAAAAUACCUGCUAUUUUUAUAGAAUACAGUAGUAUCUCAGUUCCUGAGCUUAAUUCUUUCCACGAUAUUGAUUGCAAACCUAAUUGGACAAGAACCAAAUCAGAUUUCUUUAUAAGGACAACUUUGAACCUAUUUAAUUUGAUUUGGUUCUUUUUCAGAAUCAUGGAAUGAACUAAGUUCAUGAACCAAAAUACCACCCUAGUGAGUUUUAUAAUGGCUUGACAAAGGGGUAUUAUGAUAAGAAAAGUAUAGUUGGAAAGUGCUUUGGGAUUUUUCAAAAGUCUUUAUGUAAAAAGGUUUUCAGCCAUAUACUACCACAGAUAUUGUUAUCUUCUUAUGUUACAAAACUGUUGACAUUCAUGUUUUUUUUAAACUUGGUUAAAUAAUUUUUUUCCCAGUUUUUAUUUAGUGUCGACAAAUAUAAUUAUCUGUCUUACUCAACCGAGUUCGUUUUGAGUGGUAUCAACCUGUUACGUAUUUAAUAUCUUUUUUUUUUUUUUUUUUUGGGUCUUUUUAUCGGUACCCGGGAUCGAACUCAUGACUGCCUGCUUGCAAGGCAGGCCCUUAUGCCAUUGAGCUAAAUCCCCAGCCCCAUAUUUAAUAUCGUUUUAUUUAUUUAUUUAUUUAUUUUGUCUUUUUCUUUUUCGAUACUGGGGAUCGAACUCACGACUGCCUGCUUGCAAGGCAGGAGCUUAUGCCACUGAGCUAAAUCCUCAGCCCCCAUAUUUAAUAUCUUUACUAAAAGAAAACUUGAUAUAAUUUAGGAUACCUUAUUCACGUGGCACAAUUUUAGGUUUUGUUUAUAACUCCAUGCAAUUUUUUUUUUUUUUUUUUGGUACCAGGGAUAAAAUUUACAACCUCAUGUUUGCCAGGCAAGAGCAUAAACCACUGAGCUAAAUCCCCAGCCCCAUGCUAAUUUCUUUGUUGCAAAUAGUGUUCCUGCCUUUACUUACCUUUACUUACAUAGUUUUGUGAGAAACUUUUUCUUAUAUAGCACUUACAAUUUAUGUACCAAAACCCCAAAUGUUUUAAAAGGGCUAAAUACAAAAGAUUUUUUGAAAUGGGAUCCUGUAGUAACUGUGCAACAUGAAGUUGUUAUUUCUGAAGGAAAUAAACACAAAUAGUCACUUGUAUUGACUAGAUUAAAGGUUGUCCGUUUUUUUGGGUCACGUACUAAGUGAAAGGCUUCAUUAAACACACACUUCGGUGUGUUUAAUAUAUACUGUAAUAUUUAUGUGACAUAAACUUUGUAAAAUAUGUAACUAAAAUCAAGCUAGAAAUAAUAGACUAAGUUUAAAAGUAGAUCAUCAGUCUCAUUUAAAGAUCAUUCCAAAAAAGUGCAUAUUCCUUAAUAAUUUUUUUAAUUCCAAAAUUUUAAGCAGAGAGUAUUCAGUUUAUAAGUGUCUUACUGAGGUGCAUUUGGAAGUCCACUUUUUAUUCUUGAUUUUGAUACUGUGUCACAGGAGGUUUAAUCUUUAAUUGUAGAAUUCUUGAAAGGUUAAUGGAAAGAUUUAUUUUUCAUAAAUUACGUUUUACCACUGGAGAAAGCUAUCACUUCUAUUAAAAAUGUCAUAGGCAGCAGUGAGUAAUACUAGACAUGAUUGCUGUUAAACCCUUUGGAAAUUAACAUGCCACUUGGCAGAAAUAUAAUUGGUGAGCUGCAGAAAGGUCUGGACUUAAAUAGGAGGGGUUAAUGAAUGUCUUUUUUCUGUCCUUCCUUUCUUUCUUUCUUCCUUUUUCUUCUUUUGGCUUUUAAAAUUGCACUUAGCUCUGGCUGUUUGAAAUGAUUUUCUUUGAAAGUGUUGUGACAUUGUUUUAAUUGAAUAAAGCUGCAGAACUGGCAUGAUGAAUCAACAUAGAAUGAAUUUUAAUGCAAGGCAAAGGAUAUUAACUUGGAAAUUGGUUGCAGAAGACAAAGUAGCUGCUAUGAUUAAUUGUUUUUUUAUUCUGUCCUUACUAUAUUUUGAGAAGGAUGACCUUGGCAUUUCCGAUUGCAUUAGAAUCCAGUGGUAUGCACUUUAGCAUACUUAAAUUGUUUGUUGUUUCUUGGGCAGUAGCAGUUGGUUUUUAAGAUUAAGAAAAUUUCAUAUUUUGGUUUUGUCUACUUUAAAAACAUUUUUAAUUAAUAAAUAAUAAUUGUAAGAAUUAAUUAGCUGUGGUAGAAGUAGUCUCCAUGUAAUGUUGAUGCUGUGAUUUCAGCAGCAGAGGUUUAAUAUGUGAAAAGAGCAAGAUGUGCCAAAGAGGGCCUCUGAGUGGUCAUAAAGUGUAAACCAACUGGUUUUAUAAUUUGGGAGAAAACUAUCACUUUCUGUUAAAAAUAUUAUCACAAGCAGCAGUGAGUAGCACUAGACAUGAUCAUUGUUAAAUGCUUUGGAGAUUAGCGUGGCACUUGACAAUAGAUGCGGGUCAAAAUCAGUUGCAUAUAUUCAGUGACUAAAGUAUCUUUUACAGUGCAUUUUCCAGGUCCUUUUGGAGGCAACAUAUUUUAAAUAUUUGAUGUUAUGUCUAGCAUAUGAGUUGAUUUGGAAAGCAGUUUGUAUAGAGUAUCAAUAUUAUUGAAGAGUAUCUGGUAGACUUGCUUAAGAAAUAGUUAGAUACAGGCAAGCAAAUAGAAGGGAAGCAUUUUCACAUAUUCUCAAGACCAGGGAGAGUUUUUGUUUUAAAUUCCUGACAAGUAUUUCAUUCCUUACCACCAAGCCUUGAAUAAAUGUUUUGAGUUGAAUUUAAAAAUGAAAGGCUAUUCAUUCUCCAUUUCACUGAAAGAUAGGAAAGCUAAACAAAAUACAUAGUAAUAUACAGAGAUUGUCUGUCUCCAGGUUGAUUUGGGGGAACUGGUAGAGAAGUUUUAAAGAGCCCCAGACUAUAUAAACAAGCUAGAUUAAGAAGUUUUAGAAAAGCUUGGCGAUGUUACUGAAGAUGAGCUUGGGACCAGGCACAAUGAGAUUUUUUUGCCUUCCCUUCAGGCCUUCCUUCCAGUACCUAUGUGCAGUCUGAAGCUGUGUUAAUGCUCUGUUUAGAUUAAAAGACAGCUUCUUAAAAAGUGCCAGUGAAUUUUGUGUCAUUUAGGACAAUAAUUUGGGCCAACUGAGUACAUCUAGUGAAAUAGGACAUAAUGCUGUUACCCAGACCCCACAAGAAUGUAUCAGAUAACUAAUUUAGGAUUCUUGAGAAGUUAGAUAAUCAAAGAUGUGAGCUUGAUUUUUGGAAUGUCUUUUUCCUUUUUGAUAUGUUUGUUGAAUCCCGAGAGGCUAGAUGAUCAUAAGCUUUGGACAACAGAAAUUGUACUCUAUAAUCUAUAGACUGCCCCUCUUUCCAUGCUUUACAAAAUUUAAGUAGGAUCACUGAUGUGUAUGUACUGCAGGAGUAAUUUUCUACCCAGAAUGUCCCUAAUCCUAACAGAACUGCCUUGACCAAAAAUUGUCUUAAUGAGUGAAAUAGUAUUGAGGUUGUCUUUGGUUGCUAAUAACUAACCAUAGAUGUGUGGCAGAAGCUAACGUAUAUCUUCUCUGGAGGAAGGUAAAAUAUCUUAACCCUUAAUGUAUUUCUGUAAGUCAUUUAUUAACUAUAUUGUCUUGCACACACUAUAGUACAACUGUUCAGGGACACAGGAUGACAUUUACAAAGACUGAAGAAAUAAAAAAGAGCUCCAUGGAAACUAUAGAUACUAGGAUUAUCAUAUUUACAUUUUGUAACUUUAUGGAGACAAAAGACAGCAAAGGUGUGGAAAUUAUAAGAAAGAUUAUCAGUUCCAACAGUUGGAUUUGACAGAUUUAGAAUAUUUGAAGAAAAUUAGUGAACUAGAAUAUAGUUCAUAAGAAAAAUCCUUAAGUGUCAAGAGGCAUAGGGAUGGAAAACCCAGUAGAGACAAAGAGUAAAGUAAAUAUGGUAUGCAAAUAUGUUCACAGCACUAAAAAGAGUGGUAAAAUAGGACAGAAGUGGAGUUUGAUGUAUGUGGUUGAGAUAUUUAAAAAUUAAGAGCAUCAAAGUCAUUAACUGCACCCUAGUAUUGGUAACUGAAGAAAAUCACACCUGGGCACAUUGUAUUUAAAAACUGAAAGCUAGCAAAGAAAAGGGAAUCUUAAAAGCAAACAGAAACAAGAAAAGAUUGCUUUUCUAGGAGCAGUAGUAAAACUCACAGCUCACUUCUCAGAAGUAAUAGUAGAAUCUGGAAGAUGGCAUCUUUAAGGUGGUGCAGGAAAAUGAUCAUUGAGCUAGAUUUCCCUGGCCACUGAAAAUCCGACAUUUUCGUAUCAGGAAACACUAAAGAAUAUCUUUCUGGUAGAAGAAAAAUUUUCUAGUUACCUAGAAAAUUGAGCAUGCAAAUAAGAUAUAGAAAUGGUAGAUAUGUUGGUUACUUUAAAUGCAUUUUAUUUGUAUGAAGUGUUAAUAUCCUAUUGAGUAAAAAAUAAGGCAGCAUUUGAAAAAUAAGGACAUAUAAAUCAGAUUGGGGAUAAAUGAGUUAUGAGGUCUAUAGAAAAUGAGUAAAAGUACAAAUUAAUGUUUUAAAGCGUGUUUUAACUUAUGGGUAAACAAAUGUGACUUUCAAGAUACAAUAGAAAGGAGAUAAGAAAACACACUUGUGUGUCAACCCCCCCAACAAACACACAGACACACACACACACACACACACACACACACACACACACACGUCAAGAAUGUAAAAGAUGUCAAGAAAGUAAAAGAACAUAAAAGAAUUAAGACAUAUAGAAAUAUAAAUGGACUAAUACAAAUUUCAAAGUUUGACAGGUUGAAUAAAAAAAUGAAAUUCAUUUAGUUGCUUUAAAAUAUAUAGAUAAAAAAUAGAAAAUAAUAAGUAACCAAAUAGAUACAAUAAAACAUCAAAAAUUUAUAUUUCCAUAUUAAUAUUUUAAUACAUAAAGAUAAAAGUCAUUACUGAAAAUAAAGAGGGCCAUUUUAUAAUGGAAGAAAGAUAACAUUUUUCAUUUGUACAUGUAAAAUAACAUAACUCUCUAAACAUAUAAAGUAAAAAUAGAAAUGAAAGGACAAAUGAUACUUGUAGAGUGCUUGUCUAAAAUGAAGAAGACACUAGUUGGGCCCCUAGUAUUGCAGAAACAGCUGACUUAAUCAUUGUUAGUUUGCAUUCUUUUCAAGUACCCACAGAAAAUUUAUGAAAAUUGGUUAUAUCUUGGGCUAAUCUGAAAAGUAUUAAAGGACUAAUAUUUUAGAUACUAUAUUUUCUGAUUACAGUGUAGAAAACUAGAAGUUGAAAUUAAUAUUCUUAUAGAAGUUGAAAUUAACAUUCUUAUUCUUGAAGUGAGAAAAAUAAAUUUAAAUACCCAGUAGCAUCUAAUUAUUUUUACCUGAAUUGUAAUGAAAAUGCUGCCCUUCAAAACUUGUGGGGUAUAGCUAAAAAUUGUACAGAUAUAUGUAUUAUGUCUUUAAAUGUAUAUUGUGUUUUAAAAAGGAUACAGUAAACCAUCCACUUCAAAAAAGUUGGAAAAACAGUCAGAUUAAACCUGAAGAAAGUAAAAGGAAUAAAAGGCAGCUAUGAAUCAAUACAAAUGAAUGUAAGCUCAAGAGAAUGGUAUAAGUAAGGACAGACAACUAAUCAGGAGUGAAACAUGGGCAUCACUACAAAUCUUACAGAUACUAAAAAGAAAAGGAGUCAAACUAAGUAAAAAAAUUUGAAAAUUUUGAUGGUAUGGACAUUUUUCUAGGUAGACACAGUGUAUCAAAUGGACGAUACCAGGGCUGGGGAUUUCGCUCAGUGGCAUAAGAGUUUGAUCCCUGGUACCAGUUUAAAAAAAAAAAAAAUUGAUCAUACCAAGGAAUAGAAAAUUAUGCCUUAUACUGAUUCCAUAUUUAAAAUUUUCCACACAGGAACUCUGGGGCUGGAUGGCAUUCCAGCACAUUUACUCAAUACUAAUAAAUAAAACCAGUUGUAUGCCAGCUCAUUUAAGAGUAGAAAAAGAGGGACUACAUACUGUUUUGAAAACAAUACCUUUGUUGAGAAUAGUGUUAUGAGAGAGGGAAAUUGUAGGCCAGCUUUACUAAUCAACGUACA
Long non-coding RNA from Cavia porcellus (domestic guinea pig), 16726 nucleotides. RefSeq lists it as uncharacterized. The record is from RefSeq and is a predicted model, not a curated record. The transcript is spliced from 2 exons. Lineage: Eukaryota; Metazoa; Chordata; Mammalia; Rodentia; Caviidae.